This is a long non-coding RNA of Cyprinus carpio carpio, 123 nucleotides long. Lineage: Eukaryota; Metazoa; Chordata; Actinopteri; Cypriniformes; Cyprinidae. The record is from Ensembl.
AAAAACAAUAUAUUGAUUUAAAUUUUCUAAGACACUUUUUGUUGGUAAAAGUCAUAUGCGAAUAAAUCUAUAUAAUUUUAUGUUUGUAGUUUAUUUAGAAUAUAUUUAAUUAUCCCACAACAU